Molecule: ribosomal RNA, 506 nt
Filed under: uncultured bacterium
Lineage: Bacteria
Description: partial 16S ribosomal RNA
Rfam family: Bacterial small subunit ribosomal RNA
Source: RNAcentral
GAUGAACGCUAGCUACAGGCUUAACACAUGCAAGUCGAGGGGUAACGAGAGGAAAGCUUGCUUUCCUUGUCGACGACCGGCGCACGGGUGAGUAACGCGUAUCCAACCUGCCCCCAACUAAGGAAUAACCUUGCGAAAGUAAGACUACUACCUUAUAAUCUCCUCAGAUGUCAUCUGACGAGGAAUAAAGAUUUAUCGGUUGUGGAUGGGGAUGCGUCUGGUUAGCUUGUUGGCGGGGUAACGGCCCACCAAGGCAACGAUCAGUAGGGGUACUGAGAGGAAGGUCCCCCACAUUGGAACUGAGACACGGUCCAAACUCCUACGGGAGGCAGCAGUGAGGAAUAGUGGUCAAUGGGCGGAAGCCUGAACCAGCCAAGUAGCGUGCAGGAUGACGGCCCUAUGGGUUGUAAACUGCUUUUAUACAGGAAUAAAGUUAGCCACGUGUGGUUAUUUGUAGGUACUGUAUGAAUAAGGACCGGCUAAUUCCGUGCCAGCAGCCGCCGUAA